Dermochelys coriacea (leatherback sea turtle) is the source of this 1794-nucleotide long non-coding RNA. RefSeq lists it as uncharacterized. NCBI's taxonomy places the organism in Eukaryota, Metazoa, Chordata, Testudines, Dermochelyidae. The record is from RefSeq and is a predicted model, not a curated record. The transcript is spliced from 3 exons.
GGUCUGAGACUGGGGACAAGAUUCUUUUGCGUUUGGGGUUUUGUUUGGACCUUAAUGCCCCAGAAGAAGUGGACCCGUAUGUGACUCAGCCUGAGAUCUAAGUCACCUCAGCAACUGAACAUGUUGAAAGCUGUGGAUGGUGUUGAAGGCCCAAGAGACAAACUGAGUCAGGGUGUCUGCAGUAGCCUUUCAUGCCACAAUGGGACUUAGCCCAACGCUAAUGAAGGAUUUGGAAAUCUUAACGGAGGAAAUUUACAGGAAGAAGUAAUACAGCACAGGAGAGCCCUGUUUUACAAAUGCAGGAUAUAGAAACUGAGAAGCUAAUUGCAGUUGCAGAGACUCAAAAUGGCUGCUCUGUUGUUGUUUUAUUCAAGAAUGCACUGGAAUUGCAUAAAAUCAAAUCUGUACAAAAUAUGGCCCAAUCCUGCAUCCCUUAUUUGUAUGAGUAAGGAAUACGCACUUGACUCAAGGAUUGCUGGAUUGGCCCCUGGUUAACAAUCUUAACAGUCCCCAUUUGCCCUUUCUCUUUACUAAAUACAGCACUCAGAUGUCAUUUGAUCAGAAAUUGUUCAGACAUAAAAUUAAGUCUUGCAGUCUGAAUAAAGACCUGAUCUUAUAGUCCUGUGCAGGGAAAACUCCCAUUGCCUUCCUGAGUUUUGCCUGCAUAAAUGCUAUAGGUUUGAGUACAGUGUGUUUAAGGUUUUGUUAAGAGACUUUUUUUAAUAAUUUAAAAAAAUUUGUUGAACUUCAUUGUCAAUAAAUUACCAAGAGAGAGAUUUAUUUGUAUAUUAUGCCGUAGUGCUUCAGAAUCAAUAUAUAUAAUGUAUCUAUUCAAGAAACAUACUGUAAAUGAUCGGUUGUUCUGUUCAACACUCUCAGACAAAUUAGCCUUUCUUUUUGAAGUUAAUGGGAGUUUUGACAUUGAUUACAGUAAAAGUAGGAUCAGGCCCUUUGUAGCUGAUUUCAUAUAAUUCUCAGUUUACAUUAAAAAAUGAGGCAAUACAUAUACACUUUGUUAUUAUUUGUUACUUAAAUAGCACCAUAAGUGUACACAGCUCAGUAUCUAAUAUGUGUUUUGCAAUGAAGGCAAAACAAUAUUCUAGAAUAUUAGACUGUAGAUGGAAAAAUAAUUUUACUACGUAUGGACUAAUUUGUAACCAUCAGUUUUAUGUAUCAUACUUUAAAGUGAACAUAAACUAUAAAUAUAUUAUAAAUCAAAAUUAACUGAUCUCAUCUCUCUUGCCUUCCCUUCCACACAAAAUGUGACUCCAUAAAACGUCAGUAUUCUAUUGCCUUUUCUCCAACAAACACCAAAAGGUCAGAGUUCAGUCAAAGAAUAUUUUUAGGGCCAUGGGGCAUAAGAGGAAAGACUGAAAAAACUAGAUGCCAAAUCUGACCCAAUUGAAGUCAGUAGCAGUCCUCCCAUUGACUGUAGUGGGACUGGGAUUAAGUUUUAGGAGCACUGCAGAAUGAUCUGAUCUUGGAGUCCUUCCACAUGCUGAAAUGCUGUCUGCUUUAAUGGGAGUUAUGUUUGUGCAAAGUGUAUAGGGUCACAACCUCUAGGCUAAAUCCAGUAAACCCCUUCAUAACAUGAACCAUCCCUAAUCACAUGAAUAGCCCCAUAGGAUGAAACAGAAGCAUAACAAUAAAUAAUAAUUUAUAAAUAUUCAGAGUGUAGCAGAAGCAGGAGGGGGGUUAAAAAUGGAAACAGGUGGAAGUUUUAAAGUAACAUUAAUAAGACUGGAACUAGGCAAAGGGACGAAAAUGUCCUUGAAUCAGAAUUAUCAGGUUGUA